Long non-coding RNA from Priapulus caudatus, 249 nucleotides. RefSeq lists it as uncharacterized. The record is from RefSeq and is a predicted model, not a curated record. Lineage: Eukaryota; Metazoa; Priapulida; Priapulimorpha; Priapulimorphida; Priapulidae. The transcript has 2 exons.
CAACAACAAAUAUAUGUCACUUAUUGAUAAUUCACUGGACAUUCUACAGGUGAGAAGAGGUUCUUCAUGGGGGACGAGGCCUGCACAGUUGACUGUGCACUGUUUGGUAUGCUGGCUCAAAUGGUCUGGAACAUGCCAGGCUCACCACAUGAAGCACUCAUCAAUGGAAAGUUCAAAAACCUGAAGGAAUACGCCUACAGGAUGAAGGAGACUUACUGGCCGGACUGGGAUGCAUGCAUUCUGUGCCCA